CGUAGGUGGCAAGCGUUGUCCGGAAUUAUUGGGCGUAAAGAAUGCGUAGGCGGCUUUUUAAGUGGGAUGUGAAAUCCCUGGGCUCAACCCAGGAACUGCAUUCCAAACUGGAAGGCUAGAGUGUGGGAGAGGAAAAUGGUAUUCCCAGUGUAGCGGUGAAAUGCGUAGAGAUUGGGAGGAACACCAGUAGCGAAGGCGAUUUUUCUGGAACAUAACUGACGCUGAGGCAUGAAAGCGUGGGGAGCAAGCAGGAUUAGAUACCCUGGUAGUCCACGCCGUAAACGAUGAGUACUAGGUGUAGGGGGGUACCACCCCCUGUGCCGCAGUUAACACAUUAAGUACUCCGCCUGGGAAGUACGAUCGCAAGAUUA
This 371-nucleotide ribosomal RNA is filed under the name uncultured organism. RNAcentral describes it as "bacterial SSU rRNA". It matches the Rfam family "Bacterial small subunit ribosomal RNA", at positions 526 to 896 of the family's 1533-position model. The record is from RNAcentral.